Molecule: ribosomal RNA, 492 nt
Filed under: uncultured bacterium
Lineage: Bacteria
Description: partial 16S ribosomal RNA
Rfam family: Bacterial small subunit ribosomal RNA
Source: RNAcentral
GAUGAACGCUAGCUACAGGCUUAACACAUGCAAGUCGAGGGGAAACGACAUCGAAAGCUUGCUUUUGAUGGGCGUCGACCGGCGCACGGGUGAGUAACGCGUAUCCAACCUGCCCACCACUUGGGGAUAACCUUGCGAAAGUAAGACUAAUACCCAAUGAUAUCCCACGAAGACAUCUGAAUGGGAUUAAAGAUUUAUCGGUGAUGGAUGGGGAUGCGUCUGAUUAGCUUGUUGGCGGGGUAACGGCCCACCAAGGCAACGAUCAGUAGGGGUUCUGAGAGGAAGGUCCCCCACAUUGGAACUGAGACACGGUCCAAACUCCUACGGGAGGCAGCAGUGAGGAAUAUUAGUCAAUGGGCGAGAGCCUGAACCAGCCAAGUAGCGUGCAGGAAGACGGCCCUAUGGGUUGUAAACUGCUUUUAUAAGAGAAUAAAGUGGGUCACGUGUGACUUUUUGCAUGUACCUUAUGAAUAAGGACCGGCUAAUUCCGUG